AGGACAGAGAGAGAUGGCGUCCGCUUGGAGAGGACGAGAUGAGGCGGUGGAUGACUUCGACGAGUAUGAUCCGACGCCUUAUGGCGGGGGGUACGAUCUCAGUCUCACCUUUGGCCGCCCCCUCCCGCCCUCCGAGGAGACCUGCUACCCCAUCUCCUCCGCGGGCUCUAACGUAGACUACGCAAGGCCUCAGUACUCCUCCGGCUCCGUCCCCUCCGCCUACGGGGCCUCCGACUACGGCGAGCCCUAUGGCCGCCCGAAGCCCAAGCCGGAGCCGGCCUACGGCUUCCGGCCCCAGCAAGAGGUCGAGGGAGGUGGAGGCGUCGGUGAUUUUGGUGGCUACGGUGGCGGUCGCCGCCCUCAGCCCAGGCCUGGGUUUCAGGAUCACGGAUCUGAGCCAGGGUCUGGGUAUGGUGGCAGCGAGGAGUACGGAUCUGGGUAUGGUCGUGGGUUACCCAAGCGCGAUGAGGAUAGUUCCUACGGAUACGGGUAUGGGCAAGGGCAGCCCAAGCCCUCAAGAGAGGAGGCUGGGCAAGGAUAUGGUUACGGGAGCAAGUACCAGGGCGGUGGUGAACAUGGAUCUGGUGGCGGUGGCUAUGGCGGUGGCAAUUACGGAUCUGGUGGUGGUGGUGGCAACUACGGAUCUGGCGGUGGUGGUGGCUAUGGCGGUGGCAGUUACGGAUCUGGUGGUGGUGGCUAUGGUAGUGGCGAUUACGGAUCUGGUGGUGGUCACAAGUACCAGGCCGAUGAGUCCGGAUAUGGGUCGAAUCCGAAGCCAACUUAUCAGAGGCCUGUCUCUGGUGGAGAUGAGGAGGGGACUGGGAGGUAUAACAGGCCCGUCUAUGGACGAGAU
This 853-nucleotide long non-coding RNA is filed under the name Musa acuminata (dwarf banana). Its description in RNAcentral is "long non-coding RNA (MACU_LNC005934)". Lineage: Eukaryota; Viridiplantae; Streptophyta; Magnoliopsida; Zingiberales; Musaceae. The record is from RNAcentral.